UUGGAGGGCAAGUCUGGUGCCAGCAGCCGCGGUAAUUCCAGCUCCAAUAGCGUAUAUUAAAGUUGUUGCAGUUAAAAAGCUCGUAGUUGAAUUUCGGGACCAAUUUGUUGGUCGUGCCUCGGUACGUACUGGUAUUAUUGGUUUCUCCCUUCUGAAGAACCUUGAUGUCAUUAAUUUGGUGUCUUGGGGAAUCAGGACUGUUACUUUGAAAAAAUUAGAGUGUUUAAAGCAGGCAUACGCUUGAAUACAUUAGCAUGGAAUAAUGAAAUAGGACGUUUGAUUCUAUUUUGUUGGUUUCUAGGAUCGACGUAAUGAUUAAUAGGGAUAGUUGGGGGCAUUAGUAUUCAAUUGUCAGAGGUGAAAUUCUUGGAUUUAUUGAAGACUAACUACUGCGAAAGCAUUUGCCAAGGAUGUUUUCAUUAAUCAAGAACGAAAGUUAGGGGAUCGAAGACGAUCAGAUACCGUCGUAGUCUUAACCAUAAACUAUGCCGACUAGGGAUCGGAUGAUGUUAUUUUUAAUGACUCAUUCGGCGCCUUACGGGAAAC
This 546-nucleotide ribosomal RNA is filed under the name uncultured Glomus. RNAcentral describes it as "SSU rRNA". It matches the Rfam family "Eukaryotic small subunit ribosomal RNA", at positions 548 to 1098 of the family's 1831-position model. Lineage: Eukaryota; Fungi; Glomeromycota; Glomeromycetes; Glomerales; Glomeraceae. RNAcentral also lists the same sequence under 1 other name. The record is from RNAcentral.